GGGGAUUUAGCUCAGUGGCAUAAGCACCUGCCUUGCAAGCAGGCGGUCAUGAGUUCGAUCCCCAGUACCGCUA
Molecule: transfer RNA, 73 nt
Filed under: Cavia porcellus (domestic guinea pig)
Lineage: Eukaryota; Metazoa; Chordata; Mammalia; Rodentia; Caviidae
Rfam family: tRNA
About the family: Transfer RNA (tRNA) molecules are approximately 80 nucleotides in length.
Source: Rfam by way of RNAcentral